GAUGAACGCUGGCGGCGUGCCUAAUACAUGCAAGUAGAACGCUGAAGGAGGAGCUUGCUCUUCUGGAUGAGUUGCGAACGGGUGAGUAACGCGUAGGUAACCUGCCUGGUAGCGGGGGAUAACUAUUGGAAACGAUAGCUAAUACCGCAUGACAACAGUUAUUGCAUGAUAACUGUUUAAAAGGGGCAACUGCUCCACUACCAGAUGGACCUGCGUUGUAUUAGCUAGUUGGUGAGGUAACGGCUCACCAAGGCGACGAUACAUAGCCGACCUGAGAGGGUGAUCGGCCACACUGGGACUGAGACACGGCCCAGACUGCUACGGGAGGCAGCAGUAGGGAAUCUGCGGCAAUGGACGGAAGUCUGACCGAGCAACGCGGCGUGAGUGAAGAAGGUUGUCGGAUCGUAAAGCUCUGUUGUAAGAGAAGAACGAGUGUGAGAGUGGAAAGUUCACACUGUGACGGUAUCUUACCAGAAAGGGACGGCUAACUACGUG
RNAcentral lists this ribosomal RNA (495 nucleotides) under uncultured bacterium. Its description in RNAcentral is "partial 16S ribosomal RNA". It matches the Rfam family "Bacterial small subunit ribosomal RNA", at positions 28 to 507 of the family's 1533-position model. The record is from RNAcentral.